Molecule: transfer RNA, 75 nt
Filed under: Myxococcales bacterium
Lineage: Bacteria; Pseudomonadati; Myxococcota; Myxococcia; Myxococcales
Description: tRNA-Val
Rfam family: tRNA
About the family: Transfer RNA (tRNA) molecules are approximately 80 nucleotides in length.
Source: RNAcentral
GGGCGAAUAGCUCAGUGGGAGAGCGUCGCCUUUACACGGCGAGGGUCACAGGUUCGAAACCUGUUUCGCCCACCA